UGGGGAAUUUUGGACAACGGGCGCAAGCUUGAUCCAGCCAUGCCGCGUGCGGGAAGAAGGCCUUCGGGUUGUAAACCGCUUUUGUCGGGGAAGAAAAGCCUUGGGUUAAUACCCUGGGGUGAUGACGGUACCCGAAGAAUAAGCACCGGCUAACUACGUGCCAGCAGCCGCGGUAAUACGUAGGGUGCAAGCGUUAAUCGGAAUUACUGGGCGUAAAGCGUGCGCAGGCGGUUAUGCAAGACAGAGGUGAAAUCCCCGGGCUCAACCUGGGAACUGCCUUUGUGACUGCAUAGCUAGAGUACGGUAGAGGGGGAUGGAAUUCCGCGUGUAGUAGUGAAAUGCGUAGAUAUGCGGAGGAACACCGAUGGCGAAGGCAAUCCCCUGGACCUGUACUGACGCUCAUGCACGAAAGCGUGGGGAGCAAACA
Molecule: ribosomal RNA, 427 nt
Filed under: uncultured bacterium
Lineage: Bacteria
Description: bacterial SSU rRNA
Rfam family: Bacterial small subunit ribosomal RNA
Source: RNAcentral